Molecule: long non-coding RNA, 3899 nt
Organism: Hirundo rustica (Barn swallow)
Lineage: Eukaryota; Metazoa; Chordata; Aves; Passeriformes; Hirundinidae
Exons: 4
Source: RefSeq, a predicted model, not a curated record
AAGCAUUCACCAUGAAUGGGAGGGUCUUUUCUUUUCUCCAGGGAUGAAGUGGAGGAUUUACCCUGUUCCCAAGAUGGACUAAAAGUCUUAGGCACACCACCAGCAACUACAAAUGAAGUAUCUCAGGAGCAUUUCUGGCAGAAUACAGCUCUGGCUUGAUCGUGUGUCUGGGCAUGAGAAGAGCAGGAAGAGGGGUCAAGGCAGCAAACAGAGAAGGAACCAAAGACCUGAGCUGCAGCCAGAGAUGUGCUUAGAGCCUGACCUAGAGAGAAUAACACAGAGAAUAUGGUGGGAACAGUGAGACCCCCUAAGACCACUGAACUGCUGGGAGACAGCACUGCAAGGACCACUCAGGGCUCCAGCAGCACACGAUGACCUCAUCCCUGUUCUCUUGGACCUCUCGUGGAAGAGCAGAAUGGCUGAGAGGAGGCUGAGGAAAACCAGCCACUUCCCGGUGUGUGCAGCCCCUGCCUGGAGCAUCAGCGAGCAGCAGAUGGGAUGGGGAGGUGAGCCAAGGAGCUGCUGAGCCCGCUGAGGUGUUACACAGCCCCUCGAGCGAGACGUGCCUGGCCAGGAUCACCCAGGACAUGUGUCCCACCACCAAGGCAGCGGGGAUAUAAAUCCUUGCACGGACUGGACAGCGAGCUGUCUGAGCACAUGGAAAAGGAGCAUCAGCCCCUGCUCUGGGGUUGUUGAUAAUGGCUAGAAUUGCUCAGUUUAGAAAAUGAGGAAAGGAGGGUUUGUGAUGGAAGUGAUGAUGGAGUAUGAAGCGCCAUGGUGCUUUGUGAGCAGCACAGCUACAACAACAACAAACCCACACCAGUAAAAAGGAAAAACGUCCUCUCUGUCAAGGUGGGGAGGCAGGAGAUACAACCCUACUGUACGUAACACCAGAGACUUUCCAAAUCCUACUCCAAAGCUUUUAAUCCCUUCAGCCCUAAACGGUUCAAAAUUACAUCAUCAUUUCCUCCAUUUCAGACAGAGCUUUGCCCCUUCUGCUUCUUAGCUGCAGUGCAGCUUAAUAGGACUCAUACUUCUUCAUCUUAAAUGGAAAAAUGUAUGUCAAGGCAAAACAAAGCACAGAUUCUAGAUCUCCACGGGGGGCGAGGGGGGUGUCCCAUAAAUCUGUGUGUGAUUAAAGGCAGCUGCAGAUUGACAUGGACAGUUUGAGCUUGUCAGUCCCUUGUGUGAUGGAUGGCUGUUGGAGCGAGCCAGCAGUGGCAAGCUCAAGACAAUGAAUUUCCUGCACUUCCUAAUCUCAUUGCCGAGGACUGGGAAAUAGAUGCCUCAUCAGCCCUCUCUUGGUAAGGGCCCUAACCCAAACCCCAGCACAAGCACUGCAAGUUUUCAGCCUGGCCAUUUAUUCUCAGCUCUUUCAACCUCUCGUUUCAAUAACAGCAAAUGGGGAGAAGUACAAUGAAUUCCUUUCUGGUAACCUGAGAAUAUCAGCUAAUGGAAAAAACAAAAAGUGCUCUGCAACUAUAUUAAAUUUUCAGGGAUUUUUCCCUCCUGCCCCCAACUGGCUGAUGCUAACAUUUUUUCCAGUGUCCUUGAGAUUGCAGCAAACAGCUUGCAGGGAAAAGAAAAACCAAACAGCUUGAACCACAUCCUCAGCUGGCACAAAAUGAUGCAACUCUCCUUUUUACACCAGCUGAGGAGCCAGGGUACCACUGCUUUUGUAUCAGAUUCACAACAGAGUUACCAUCGUAAAAGUGAGAUACUGAGAUGAGUUUUGCUCCAAGUGACAUCAUAAAUUUGCAAGGAGCAGGAAAUGUCUUGGCAGAGCUGAAUGGGGCGCUGAGCACGGAGCCCAUUUGGCACCAGCAACUAAAUCCAGGAUCCAUGGGGAUGCAUCCAAGGACACAGUCUUAUAUUUUGUAUUCUGAUUUUAUGAACAUCAGACUGAUCUGUGUGUUUAGAAAUGGAAGUAGAAAAAAUAAUGGUGAAAACACGCAUCCAAUGUUAUGGUUUGCAUAUCCAAUAUUAUUGUAAUUCUGGUUAUCUAGCAUGUUUCACGAUAAAAAAUUGAGUGAUUUAGGAAGAAUAGAAUGAAUAUUUCAGUUGGAAUGUACAAUGCUCCAACUAUCUGACCACUUCAGGGUAGACCAGAGCAUUAAGGGCAAAUGUUCAAAUGCCUCCUAAACACUGACAGAUUUGGAGUGUCAAGCACCUCUCUAGGAAGUCUGUUGCAGUGUCUGACCAUCCUCUUGGUAAAGAAAUGCUUCCUAAUGAGCAGUCUAAACCUUUCCUGGUGCAGCUUUGGACAAUUCCCAAGUGUCCUGUCACUGGAUUAAUCACAGGGAGAUUGAAUUUGUCAUAGAAAGAAUCACAGAGUGGUUUGGGUUGGUGAUAUUGGUGGUGUCCAACAGCAUCUGGAAGGAGGAGGAGGCAUCUAAUCUGAGGUGUGAAUUUAGGGAACUUUGCUGCUGGGCCCUAGGGAUCCUGCAUAGUUUCAGGGUGUGAAGUUUAUAGACAGGAGUUUGGGGAUUUCAAGUUUGGAUUUAGAUACAACUCCCACAUCUCUCAAAGGUGCUGUAAAUACUCAUACUUUGUCUGGGAGAAGAGAUAUUUGGAGAACUGCAAGACUGGGGCUUAAAAUAUGCUGAGAUCCCACAUUACCAGGGAUGUACUGAUGUGAGUAAAAGCUAAAACAAAAGAGCCUAUUAAAGUAAAGAGGACUCUAAUGUGCUCCAGAAGACCUUUUGGAAAAGCUGAUUCCAGAAUUCAGUAUUUGCAAACUGAAGACCUCACUGUUUGAGGUUUUGGGGACUGAAAAUUACUACAUGAAAUUUGGAAGUCAUGUUUUCAGAGGUGAAUUUGAAAGACAAAGGUAAGGAACCUACAAAAGUGCUGUUUUGUGUAAACUGACCAGUAAUUGCUUUUUGAGCAGUCUUUCUCUCUCUUCUGUAUUUUAACAGAACCAUAAUUCAUAUUCCAAAUGGUUGGAGUAUAAAAAAACUUUGGCAAAAAGAUCAGGCUUGGCAGCAACUUGUUUCAAGACUUUGAAAAUGAGAUUAAUGAGGAAGAAGGUGCUGAAAAAGAGGGCCAGAGAAGAUGAGGAUUGAUGCUAUUGUAGCACAGACAUCCUUGUACCACUUAUCAGGAUUUCCUGCUUUUAAUUCAUUUUUGCAUUAUUCACCUGGAAAGGAAAAAAAACCCUGAAGUUCAUGCACUUCAUUGGAACACACUGGUCUCAAAGAGAUAUGUUUGCUAUUUUCACAUGGGAAUGGUUACUCCUUGGCAUCUAUUCUGAAUUCAGAACGCAUUGGGUCAAACCCAUCUGUGUUGUAGCCUUCUCAAAUUGCGGGAUUUCCACUCAGGAUGCGUUUGGCCCGGUGUGCUCUGCCUGUUUUGGCUUCAAUACAUUAUGUGAUUGUUAGUUCCAUAUCCCCUGAAGGAUUAUAUUCUUCCUUGGGCACAGAGCCCACUCAGGUCUCUGUGUUUCACUAAACCAGACUAUAAAGAAUAGGUGCAAACCCUGCACAGAAACUUUCCUCAUCCUAUCGAUGCCAUUUCAAGCUGCCCUUGGAAAGAGGAUAUUUAGUGAUGGGCUUGGUUUGCUCUUCUCAGUCAUAAAAGAUUUGAGGAUUGAGUCCUUCUAUACAGCUACCCUUAAUUUGGGGAAUUAAAUCCUGCCAACCCCUUCAGCACAGUGCCCAUUACCCAGUGUAGUCACAGCACCCGCGCUGCUCUGCUGUCUGGGAAACAUCCUGCACGUCAGCACCUCCAGCCUGCCCAGUGCUCAGCUCCUGUUGGGAAUCCUCCAAAGCAAACUCCUCCUUUCCCCAUUCCAGGGCCACACAUCCCUUGUCCCUGAGCUGCACAGGGCUCAGGCAGUGCUCCCCCCAUCUCAGCACAGAGCUGCUUACAGACAGAUGGGCAGAGCUGAGGAACUUUGG